UGGUUCUUUAGCUUAGUUGGUUAAGGCCCCCGCUCAUAACGGGGUUAGCGCUGGUUCAAGUCCAGCGAGAACUAU
RNAcentral lists this transfer RNA (75 nucleotides) under Lactococcus lactis subsp. lactis. RNAcentral describes it as "tRNA-Met". It matches the Rfam family "tRNA". From Rfam's summary of the family: Transfer RNA (tRNA) molecules are approximately 80 nucleotides in length. Their secondary structure includes four short double-helical elements and three loops (D, anti-codon, and T loops). Lineage: Bacteria; Bacillati; Bacillota; Bacilli; Lactobacillales; Streptococcaceae. The record is from RNAcentral.